Molecule: ribosomal RNA, 41 nt
Filed under: Pleione sp. US:3540396
Lineage: Eukaryota; Viridiplantae; Streptophyta; Magnoliopsida; Asparagales; Orchidaceae
Description: partial 5.8S ribosomal RNA
Source: RNAcentral
GAGGCCAACCGGCCAAGGGCACGUCUGCCUGGGCGUCAAGC